RNAcentral lists this transfer RNA (101 nucleotides) under Podospora anserina S mat+. It matches the Rfam family "tRNA". Rfam says of the family: Transfer RNA (tRNA) molecules are approximately 80 nucleotides in length. Their secondary structure includes four short double-helical elements and three loops (D, anti-codon, and T loops). Further hydrogen bonds mediate the characteristic L-shaped molecular structure. tRNAs have two regions of fundamental functional importance: the anti-codon, which is responsible for specific mRNA codon recognition, and the 3' end, to which the tRNAs corresponding amino acid is attached (by aminoacyl-tRNA synthetases). tRNAs cope with the degeneracy of the genetic code in two manners: having more than one tRNA (with a specific anti-codon) for a particular amino acid; and 'wobble' base-pairing, i.e. permitting non-standard base-pairing at the 3rd anti-codon position. The record is from Rfam by way of RNAcentral. RNAcentral also lists the same sequence under 1 other name. Lineage: Eukaryota; Fungi; Ascomycota; Sordariomycetes; Sordariales; Podosporaceae.
GGGUGACUAGUCUAGUGGUCAGGACGCUUCGUUGUGGUUAUUCUUCGCAAGAAUAUCACAUACGAUCCGAAGAAACCCCGGUUCGAUUCCGGGGUCGCCCA